This is a long non-coding RNA of Apis florea (little honeybee), 1109 nucleotides long. NCBI's taxonomy places the organism in Eukaryota, Metazoa, Arthropoda, Insecta, Hymenoptera, Apidae. The record is from RefSeq and is a predicted model, not a curated record.
GAAGAAAUCUUUGAUUUACAUUUUAUUUUUUAAAUUUUACGUCAUAUAUUUAAUAGAACAUGUAAUUUAUAUAAUUAUAAAUGAAAAUGAAAUUUUCAUCAAAUAGUUUCAUCAAAAUAAGCUUCGCGAGACCAUUAAUCGAAAGUAUCGGUAAAAAUACUCUACCAAAGUUUAGCAUUCCACUUUAAGAAUAUAGACAUGAGUAUUAUAAGUAUCUACGUAGGAAACGUGUACACGGAGUUGAAUUUCGCGAUUAUUUUCAUCUGUAUUCCUGCGAGCGAUGGUUUAAUUUUUAAAAUUCAGAUAAUAACUUCUUACAUAGAAUCGAUGGUAAUAAUAACAAAGUGACGGUGACAGAAUGAAUUGCUUCGAGGAACGAUUUAUUUAAGAAUCUCUUUUCCCUUACGUCUUAGUUAGAACAAAAUGUACGAGGGAAAGUAUUAUUAAUUUUUCAAGCAAUUUUUUAUUCAAUGUUACAUGUAAUAAUAAUAUUUCACUUGCAAUGUUAAUUUAUUUGAGCAUAUCAAAAUUAAAAAAAAAAAUGUACAACAUUCGUAUAUAAUACUUUAAAAUUUGUGGAAAUUUAGCAUAGGAAAAAAGAAAGGAUAUUUAAAAUUAUUGACGAGAGAUACACACCUAAAUUUUGCUCGAAUUGCUUUCUCGAUUCAUCGAAUUAAUUAGUUCAGAAACGAACAAAUCUGAGACAAACGAAGAAGAAUCAGACAUAAAUUUUCGGGGACGUACGAGUUGAGAAUGCCAUUUUUAAUUGGACCACUAUACGCAAUAUGAUAUUUCUCCCUGUCGCAAAAAUGUAUGUAUAACAUAUCUACAAAAUAUACAAAUAAUUACGCGAAGAAAGAUCGAUAGAACUAUAGCUGUUCGAUCAAUUUACGAAUAAUUAUUAGAUUGGAUCUAAUUAACGUCGAGGAACGCGACUUAAAUUAAUCGUAUUACAUGCCUGCUUUCUUUGGUCAAGGGACUAAAAUACGAGAUCCUCAAUGACUGUUUAAUUAAUCGUUGCAAAUUAUUCGACUUUCUCACACUUAUCCACCAAUCGAAAAAAUUUGAUUCACGUAUCGGGUAGUUUUGGACUUUGAAGUCGUUUUAUC